GGCAGAACAUUUGAGAAAAUUUCGAAAAUCUGGAGUCUCUACACUCUAAAAACACUCUGGUUAAAUUUGGGUUAAUUCAACCAGGAUGGGGUUAAAAAUCUACCUACACAAUCCUUGUUAAAAAAAAUAAACCAUUUUCCUGGUUAAAAGUCCAAAGAAGUAUGGCCAGAUUUUUGUUGAAUCAAUAAUUUUUAACCAGGAAAUUAGUUAAUUUAACCAGGAAUGUGCUAGGUAGUUUAUUGAUCCAGUUCCUGGUUGAAUUUAACCAGAGUGUUUUUAGAGUGUAGAUGGUCUGAAAUGGCA
Paramuricea clavata is the source of this 303-nucleotide non-coding RNA. The record is from the annotation of a GenBank genome assembly. Lineage: Eukaryota; Metazoa; Cnidaria; Anthozoa; Malacalcyonacea; Plexauridae.